CGAAAUAGCUCAGCUGGUAGAGCAAUGCAUUCGUAAUGCAUAGGUCAUGGGUUCGAGUCCCAUUUCCG
RNAcentral lists this transfer RNA (68 nucleotides) under uncultured Parabacteroides sp. It matches the Rfam family "tRNA". Rfam says of the family: Transfer RNA (tRNA) molecules are approximately 80 nucleotides in length. Their secondary structure includes four short double-helical elements and three loops (D, anti-codon, and T loops). The record is from RNAcentral. Lineage: Bacteria; Pseudomonadati; Bacteroidota; Bacteroidia; Bacteroidales; Tannerellaceae.